UACAGUAUUGAAGAGAUUUAUUUUAUUAUUGCUUCAAUUAGCUCCAUUUAUGUGUUGACUUCAUUGAAGAGGUCCAAUGAGAAAAUAACAGAAGCCUCCUUAUUUCCCAGGUUUUCCUCCUUUAGUACCAUCCUCAUCCAAUUACUGUCUCUCCGAUACUACUUAAUAGCAGGGGGUUUGCAGAAAUUUCUGUUUGCCAUGUAAAACUGUGAAUAGUAAUUUAUUUUAGAUAGUUGUUGAACUUGUGAGUUUUAACUCACAAUGCAGCCUUCCCUUUUGCAGUUUUUUUGUUUUCUGUUUUUUGGGUUUUUUUUGUUUGUUUGUUUUCUUUGUCUUUUAGUGUGCCAUCGAUCUUUGAUAUUGCAUUGAAGGACAAUAUACCACAGUAGCACCUUGAACUCAGUGAAAAUUGUUCAGGAUCAAAAUACUAAGUGUUCUUUUAGAGGGAAGGAAAAAGUACACACACUGUCCUCUCACAAUGAUAUAUUUUAUACAUUCAUUUGUUAUUUGUUUCAUGCUUUAUAAUUCCAGAUGGAAAGGUAAUUUCAGUGACUUUUCAGGUUUAAAUUACAUUACAGGUAAAUGAAAAGUUAUGGUACAAAUAAAAUUGGUAUGAUCCCCAGGGUGAAUAAAAAUCAAAACACGAAGUAGAAGAUGUGACCAUGAGGAUGUUUAUGUAACAAAUUCAAAGUGAAGAUCAUGUUUAUUUUUACUUGUUUGAUAAAAUAUUUUUGAAAUGAUAAUACUUAUUUUAUUAUUUGAUAUUUCAGUACCUAUCCAAUUGUGGCAAAUUUUCACAUUUUAGAUUGGCAUUGGUAAUAGAAAUGUCAGAAUGUUCAAAUUGGCCUUCACGUUGUCGGAGUGAACACAUUCACACCUAGCUUUAAGACUGAUUUAUCUGUCGGUCUACUGAAGGUUUCCAUGUAGGACUUCAAAUGUGAAUAAAGGAAAAGCGGUCAGGAAAACAGGGCAUUCUCUGGAGAGUCACGUGUUUUGAUUUGGACAUUUCCGUAGAGCUCGGCUCCCAGUGCUGUGUUCCUCAGUGGAAGGGGUCUCUGCUGUCUGGGGACUCACUGGCCUCUCCUAGGGACUCCUCUGUCUUGUGAACCCCACACUGUUGGAUUCUGUAUCAUUACGCGAAUUCUCUGCACAGUUUUCCCUGGCCAACCUACCCACAUCCUUGGAGAUUUGCUUUGCCAAUGGGAAUCCUUACCUUGCUGUUUCACAGUAGACUGCUGGACGAGGUCAGCGGGAGUCGUGCUCCUAACACACACACUGAACGAAACAAAGAGAAGACGGUUGAAAGUGUGAGGAGGCUCGUGUGCAAGGGAGAACAGGGUUACUAUACAUAUUAGGUGUAUAUAUAUACAUACAUACAUAUAUAUAUAUAUUGUACAUAUCUAAGUUUGAGUCAUUCAAACUAGGUGCAAAAUGCUGACUUCAGAGUCUGAAUUAAUGUCUCUGUUCCCACAUCCCUGACCUGCUCCCUGGUCAAUGAUGCUAUGAAAUCCUGAAAUGACAGGACAUACAUACAUACAAGAAACCACAUAUCAGAUUAGAUAUGAUUUUCCUUUGUGUGCAAAGUCAAACUGUCCUAGGGUUGCCAGUUCGAAGCAUGUUAUUUAAAUGAAAAAAAAAAAA
Long non-coding RNA from Macaca fascicularis (crab-eating macaque), 1641 nucleotides. The record is from Ensembl. NCBI's taxonomy places the organism in Eukaryota, Metazoa, Chordata, Mammalia, Primates, Cercopithecidae.